Molecule: long non-coding RNA, 677 nt
Organism: Oncorhynchus mykiss (rainbow trout)
Lineage: Eukaryota; Metazoa; Chordata; Actinopteri; Salmoniformes; Salmonidae
Source: RefSeq, a predicted model, not a curated record
CCGAUCCACAGAGGAGCCGGGUCCAGUGUUACUGGAAUUAAAGCUAAAGCCUGCGCUCUGUUGUUAUGGUAAUCCUCACACAAGACAACACAACCACGAUCUGCAGGGGCAGCAAUGUUGCCACGGUGAUAAACAUCACUCGAAACAUCGGUGGAGAGAGCCUCAAUUAAGGUGUGGAUGGAUGGAUGGGAUUCCAGUGUGAGAGCAACAAAGAGGAGGAGGAUGACGUUUCUACUUUUAUGUUGGCGUUCAAAUGGGAAAUGUUGAUCAGAUGGUGACAGGUGUUCCAGCAGGAUCAUACAGCCAGGAAAGACCAGUCUACGGAGCUCAGGACAGAUGGUGACAGGGGUCUCAUCGGGUUCAGGCAGCCAGGGUAGACCAGUCUGUGACAGCGCAGAGGUGAACUACUGCCGAUGGAACACUUUAUUCUCUCUGUGCAGCAAACACUGGACAAGAAAGAAGCUUCAAAUCACGGACAAUAUUUUAAGGCAGUCUGACGAACCUCUGAAGUUGAUUUCCAAACUGUAUCAAGGGUUGAUAGAGGCUUUUCCCGAUGAGACAAAACAUGAAAAAUAAAAAUGUGAGGAAGACCUGGGAGACACUAUUGAUGAUGAUGAAGGGAAACAUAUAUGUUAGAAUGUCGAGUCAUGUUCAUAUAAUAAACAUAAAUUACUGCA